RNAcentral lists this long non-coding RNA (191 nucleotides) under Carassius auratus (goldfish). Its description in RNAcentral is "lncRNA (ENSCARG00000052373.1)". The record is from RNAcentral. Lineage: Eukaryota; Metazoa; Chordata; Actinopteri; Cypriniformes; Cyprinidae.
GAGCUCUGGACAGAAAAAGAUCCAGGGCAGUUUUGGCUGCAUUCACCACGUCGGUCUCCUCUUCUGAUGUGAAAAGAACAGCCAUAUCUUCAAAUACAGCUGUUGCCUCUUCUAGAUGUGUGCUGUUUAACAACAAGGCAAAGCAAAGGACACUUGAAAUUAGUCCCCAACUGAAGUCCGUCUCCACUUGA